GAAUAUUGGGCAAUGGACGAAAGUCUGACCCAGCGACGCCGCGUGAGGGAUGAAGGCCUUCGGGUUGUAAACCUCUUUCAGCAGGGAAGAAGCGAAAGUGACGGUACCUGCAGAAGAAGCACCGGCUAACUAUGUGCCAGCAGCCGCGGUAAUACAUAGGGUGCAAGCGUUGUCCGGAAUUAUUGGGCGUAAAGAGCUCGUAGGUGGUUAGUUACGUCGGAUGUGAAAAUCUAGGGCUCAACCCUAGACCUGCAUCCGAUACGGGCUAGCUUGAGUUUGGGUAGGGGAGACUGGAAUUCCUGGUGUAGCGGUGGAAUGCGCAGAUAUCAGGAGGAACACCAAUGGCGAAGGCAGGUCUCUGGGCCAAUACUGACACUGAGGAGCGAAAGUGUGGGGAGCGAACAGGAUU
This 409-nucleotide ribosomal RNA is filed under the name actinobacterium SCGC AAA028-G02. RNAcentral's name for it is "bacterial SSU rRNA". It matches the Rfam family "Bacterial small subunit ribosomal RNA", at positions 359 to 779 of the family's 1533-position model. The record is from RNAcentral. Lineage: Bacteria; Bacillati; Actinomycetota; Actinomycetes.